AUUUCCAUCAACAACGAAAAAAAAUAAAUUUAUCAAAGCUGCAAUGUGCCUUGUUUACUAGGUUUCUUUGUUUUUUUUUUUUGUUUUUUAAGUAAAUUUGUAGUUGCAAUUUUGUAUUGAUAUUCUUUCGAAACAUAAUUAAUGAAUUCACUGAGAGUUCAAGUUAUAAAAAUGAAAAAAGGAAUUCGUUCCAUUCAUUGUCCCCUCGAAGAAAAUCGUCAACGUCGACCACACCAUUCACGUCACAGAAAUAGCAGUCAAGUCGAGAUGAUACUGCUGCUACCGAUACUGGUGCCUCCGUUUCAACACCAGAAGCAUCAGCAGCAUAACCUCUACACUAACAUCAAGUCAAUAAUCAUUCGUGGAGGACAGUAUCAAUAAUUCAAUGAGCUCUGAAAAACGCAAAGAAGAAUGUUUCCCACAAAUUCAAGGAACGCAUGGGAAUACACUUUUUGAUGCUUUUCAAACUUAAAUGGAAUAAUUUUUAUAGUGGUUAAGAAGAAGAAUAUUGUCAACUUUUCAUGAGUCUCGAAGAAUUCAAAGAGGAGACAAUAAACAAUUCGCAGCUCAGGAAAUUACUUUGGCUAAAAUAAUCAACGAUAAUAUAGCCAGCCAUCAAUUAGGAAAUAGGUGGUCCAAAAAGACGAAACCGAUAAUCUGAAAACUCCAUGGGCGAAAAGUCCACUGACACUAAACAACUUCUUAACUCCUUGACUGUUCUAGACAAUGAAUGCAAAGAAUCAAUCCCACACCGGGUUUUGGCUGAAAAAAGGUGCCUACGAUAUAAUCAUUACGCUACUCGAACAAGAAUUCUCUUCAUCCAAUCCAGAUAAAGAAAAUCUUUACUUAAUGUGUUUGUACAGCAAUCGUUGACCAAUCAACAACCGAAUCUCUACGACGAAGAAGUCCUGGCCAUUCUUUCAUUCUUUAUUUAAUAAGAUGUCUUGUUGUUGAUGCUCGGGUUUUUUCAUUCAACAAUAAAGUUUUCGUUAGAAACAUUUUGUUCAUGAAUAAUUGAGUUCAAUGAUUAAAAAAUAAGUAAAUAAAGUGCAAAAAGAUAACAAAAGGUGUGUUUUUGAUUACGCCCGUGCAUUGGACAAAAACAAAACGAAUCGAUUAUUGCCGAUAGCAAUUUACAAGGUAAAUGCAACAACAAUGCAACUAAGCCAGAGGGUGUAAGGUGUUGUUGCAUUUAACAUUUUAAUUACUUAGCCUCGACUGUUUUUUUUUUGUCCAACUUUUUGCUGAAGAAAAUUCUGUGGAAUGUCCGGAAAAUGACCAGACUUGUUGAAUACUUAAAUAUUAAGUACUUUUUGUUUUGAUAUUUUUUAACAAAGAGGACCUAAUCCCUAUCUUUGAGAUAACAGAAUAACUCAUCAUGGAUUGUGGGUGUUUUUUGACCAAACAUUUUGUCAGUUUGUAUGAUUUGGAAUACUGAUUUUACUAAAAGGAAAAAUAAGCUAAUAUUAUUAUUUUUAACAAUUUUUUAUUCUAUACUUUUACAAAUAAAUGCUUUUGGUCUACUCAAGUCAUAUCUAAUUAUCUUAGGUAUGAUUCUAGAAUUUCGAGAAGUUUGUGCAUCAAAGAUAGCCGAGCAUCAAGAUUUGGAGUUAAGCGCACAAAAUUUAGAGUUUAGCUAGUGGGGAGUAGGUCAACUCAAAACUCCAAAAAUGAUUCAUCAAUCGAUUCAACAUUCUUUUUAGGCAUAUUAUAUUAAGAAAAUACAUACCUGUUUUAUUUCCAAGAUUUAACUACAUAUAUUGGAUGUUUUACUUGCACAAAAAAAAAAAAAAAAAAUAACACAUUUAUCGGAAUAUAAAUUUCGUUGAACGGUGCAGUCUAUUGAAACACUACAUAUUUUGGCGUCCUAAGAAGAAAAUUCCAGAAGCUGAGUAUCAUGCCUUCUAUAAACCUUUCCAGAUGCUACAUUUUGUACACCUGUAAAGCUUUAUAAGAAUAAAAUUGUUAUCAUGAUAAGAAGCUUUUAAUGACCGCUGUCGUGGAUUCCUAUAGGAUUAAAUGCUUCUCGACAUCGUUAUAGUGUGCUUAUAGAUAAUUUUCUCAUCACACCUAUAAUCCCACUAUAAGAUACUCCUAAAAAGUUUUUUAGAAGUAUAAAUAUCAGCGUUUACUGAUAAUUUUUUUACCGUGGGUAGUAUACCAGCCUUAUAGGUGCGAAUAGUCCUUUAGACUUGAAACCCGUAAGCAAAAAUGUUAGUUGGUAUAUACCAACAGGAAUUAGAGUGAAACCGCGCCAAAAAUACCUACUUGCCUCAACUCAGUGACGUCAUCGACGCGCACAAAAUUGUGAAAAGCAACACCAAACAUGCGCAAUGCCAUAUCUUUAGUAGUUGUAUCAUGGGUAAGACGUACGAAAAUUUCCAGUCUUGGUAUAGUUUAUCGAUGGUCAAUACCUUAUUACCCCAUUUUGUAAGAUGGCGGCUCUAAAGCAUGGAAUACACGAUACAAUCAUCGUACAGGACUUGAGAUGUACCGAUAUCGGUAACAAUAUCGAAAGAAAGCACAUACACCGUGCGAUUCACUAACGAUUUUAUUAUCUGUCAAAUUAAUUUUCUCAUUUUUAUCCAUUAUUUGGAUGUAAGUUAAAAAAAUUUUAUGUAAUCUCAAAAACUCAAUCUAGGUGAAUUAAAAGCCCACACACGGUACAGCCCCCAACUAACAAUUUCGAUGUUAUAACGAUGGUGAGAAGCUUUUUGUCAUCAAUAAUUUCACACCUAAAAGACUCAUAUAACCCUGUUUAUCAUUAAAAAGGCCCCCUUUUUUUACUCCUAUUAAACCUAUAAGAAGUACAAUGAAAUACUCCUGUAAAGUUUCUCAUCAGUAGCCGAAAGUGGUAUUCGAUCCUAUAGGUGUGGGAAGAAGUACACUAUAAGACUACUGUAAAGUUUGUCAUCAACAAACGAAAGUGGUGGAGGAGAAAUAAAAAGUGAGGUUGGAUAUAAAAGGAGGGGAAAUAAAAGGAGGAGAAAUAAAAAGAAAUUAAA
Long non-coding RNA from Episyrphus balteatus (marmalade hoverfly), 3005 nucleotides. RefSeq lists it as uncharacterized. NCBI's taxonomy places the organism in Eukaryota, Metazoa, Arthropoda, Insecta, Diptera, Syrphidae. The transcript has 4 exons. The record is from RefSeq and is a predicted model, not a curated record.